This 187-nucleotide non-coding RNA is filed under the name Protocruzia adhaerens. The record is from RNAcentral. Lineage: Eukaryota; Ciliophora; Spirotrichea.
AGAAAAUGAGAUAGAGAAACUACUAGGCAACCGAAAAAGACAGAGAGAAAAGAGGGAUAAAACACAAAUGAUUGAGCAAAGCACUUGAGGAGGGUAUGUUUGUUUUCUUAAUUUUUGUUUUUGGGGUUUUUGGGUUGUUGUUUUUGUCCACUAAAUCGAAAGAUCUGGAAGAAUGGGAAGGGAGGGA